GUCUACGGCCAUGCCACCCUGAACGUGCCUGAUCUCAUCUGAUCUUGGAAGCUAAGGGUUAGUACCUGGAUGGGAGACCACCUAGGAAGGGUCGGGCCUGGUUAGUACUUGGAUGGGAGACCACCUAGGAAGACCAGGUGCUGUAGGCG
This 149-nucleotide ribosomal RNA is filed under the name Pteropus alecto (black flying fox). Lineage: Eukaryota; Metazoa; Chordata; Mammalia; Chiroptera; Pteropodidae. The record is from RNAcentral. RNAcentral also lists the same sequence under 1 other name.